CUGGAGGAAUGUAUAGCAAUAGCUAAUUGCACCAACAAAUAGUUGAUGUAAUAUCGACUAUGUCGAAUAAAAUUCUAGGUAGAAUUAUGAUAAUGACAUUGUCUGCCUAUGUGUCUUGACCAAAUUACGUGCCAGCAGUCGCGGUAAUACGUAGAAGACUAGUGUUAUUCAUCUUUAAUUGGUUUAAAGGGUACCUAGACGGUAAAUCAAGCCUUAAACGGGACUAAUUUACUAGAGUUACUUGUGAGGGGGUAUUAAAGUACUGAUGGUGUAGAGAUGAAAUUCUGUCAUACCUUUUCUUAAGAGGGCAAGAACAUAUGGCACAGGUAUAGGCGAAAGCAUCCCCUUAUGUGAUAACUGACGUUGAAGGACGAAGGCUUUGUGUCGCGAACAGGAUUAGAUACCCCAGUAGUCAAAGCAGAAAAUGAUGAAUGUCAUAGAUUAGAUAUAUAGUUUAUUCUAUAAAUGAAAGUGUAAGCAUUCCACCUCAAGAGUAAUUUGGCAACAUUGGAACUGAAAUCAUUAGACCGUAUCUGAAACCAGUAGUGAAGUAUGUUGUUUAAUUAGACGUUACGCAAAAAACCUUACCACAAUUUGAAUAUUUAUAUCUAUUUUUUUUUUGAUCUUUUUUUUCAUUCUGAUCCUUUUUUUAUUAAAAAAAAUCAUGAAAAUAAAAAAUUAUGAAAAGGAAAUAGACAUAUUUACAAGCGUUGCACGGCUGUCUUCAGUUAAUGUCGUGAGAUUUUGGUUAGUUCCAUUAAAUUAACGUAAACCCUUACUUUAUUUUUAUAUAAAGUGGUUCCCCACUAGAUUGGAUAAGAUAACAGGGACUAG
This 834-nucleotide ribosomal RNA is filed under the name Lecanora anakeestiicola. Its description in RNAcentral is "partial small subunit ribosomal RNA". It matches the Rfam family "Bacterial small subunit ribosomal RNA", at positions 353 to 1161 of the family's 1533-position model. The record is from RNAcentral. Lineage: Eukaryota; Fungi; Ascomycota; Lecanoromycetes; Lecanorales; Lecanoraceae.